This 103-nucleotide small RNA is filed under the name Klebsiella pneumoniae. Its description in RNAcentral is "partial RtT sRNA". It matches the Rfam family "RtT RNA", at positions 30 to 130 of the family's 130-position model. Rfam says of the family: This family represents a bacterial cis-regulatory element known as RtT RNA. The exact function of RtT is unknown although it is thought that it may be involved in changing the cellular response in relation to amino acid starvation. Lineage: Bacteria; Pseudomonadati; Pseudomonadota; Gammaproteobacteria; Enterobacterales; Enterobacteriaceae. The record is from RNAcentral.
CUUCGACUAAGGUUCGACUCGAGCGAAGCGAGAGAACGUUGCCGCAGGCAACGGCCCGAAGGGCGAGGCGCUUUAGCGCCGAGUAAUCCUUCCCCCACCACCA